Molecule: long non-coding RNA, 2145 nt
Organism: Symphalangus syndactylus (siamang)
Lineage: Eukaryota; Metazoa; Chordata; Mammalia; Primates; Hylobatidae
Source: RefSeq, a predicted model, not a curated record
GGCUCCUCACUGCCCAAUUCUUGAAUAGCCUCAGAAAAGUAGCCUGAUAAUUAGUAGUCACUGACUUUUAAUGAUCUGAUCUCAUUCUAAUGGCACAACCCCAAAAUCUCAGGCAAGACCAGCAAUUCUCACCUCUCUGUCUUCUUUUAAGUAUCGAAACAAGGGCUGACGAGAUGGAAGCACUCCUGGAAGCCUGACAGUUCUGGGAUCAGGAUGCUUCAAUUUGAAUCCAGCUCUCUAACUUCCUAACUUGUGACUUUUGAGCUCCACACAGUCCUACAGCGUUCCACCAUGUAAAAUCAGGCCUUCAUUUUGAACUUGGAUAUCUCCCCACUUGCAGGCAGUGGCAAUGCCAGCAAGCCACAGGUGGGCACCACACGAGCAGGCAGUUUAAGAGAGUUUUAGGCAAAUGAACGUCCGUGCCUUGGAAAUCCCUGAGAAGACGUGAAGCAGCCUCAGAAAGAGAAACUGGCUGAGCUUUCAGCCUGCGCGCGCUGGGAACGAAGGUAGAUGCCUUGACUCAGAGUUGGUGGCUGUUUUGAAAGCUGGCCUUGCUUUGGACCAUUGAUGGGGCUGUCUUCUUCAGCAAACAGUGAUCGUGAAGCCAAAUUCAGCUUUCUUCAGGAAAAGGACAAAAACUAGGAUGAGGAAGCUGAGGUGCAGUGCUGUCAGGAAACUGCCCAAUGUCAUAGGUAGCAAGUGGUGGAAAUGGAAGUUUUGAACCUGGGCAUGCUCACAAAGAGGACACUUUGCUACAUCAGAAAGGAAGGACGGACGGACUACCGAAAGAAAGUGUCAGAAUCUGCCCUUGAGAGUACUGUUUCUAGGAGAGCAGAGUUUACAGAAAAUUUAAAGAAAAUUUUCUCCAAUGCCUAAUCCUGGGUCAACAUUUGCAAAUACACAGCCUCGUUAAUUGGCCUUGCCCGGGCAGUCCUGAGCAGCGCCCCUCCUGAAGACAGAGCACUGAGGAAAGAAGGGUAUUAUUUCAGCUGGGAGAGGAGCAGAGCCCUGGGAUGAAACUGAUUGAUUCAGACCAGAUGGAUGGCCACACAUAGGUGUGACAAAAAUAGUAACACAUUGCAGACAUUCCAGGAACUGUCCUCCUUUCCUGGCCUGGAGGUGGGUCGCCUGUGUUGUCUCCUUAUCUACCUCUUAUGUGCUUCCGAAUCAAAGAAUGUCAAUGAUGCUAACUCUUUUCCAUGUUAGCACCGGGUCACAAGGCAUCAGAUUUGAAGUUCCAUUAAAAAAGUCUAAUGACCAUUGCCCAGGUUUCCCUGUAGGUAAAGCCAAAGCAAAUCAUCUUGCCUACUGCCUAAAUAUGUUGUUAUUAUUUCAAUUUCCUCUUGCACAUGAAGAGUUCUAAGGUGUCAGAAACUGAUCUCUGCUACCCUAGAAGAGAAGGGUACAUUAAUAAAUGAUACCAGUGUUGUAAUUAAGCAUUGAUUAUAACUUAAUUCAUGGGUCUUAAAAGAGUACUACGUAAUAACUGAGGACUCUGAUCUGGUUAUAGGCACUUUAACCCUAAAUUGUCUGAGCCUGAGGACUCUCUAUUAAAAAGAGAUAGGACCUUACAUAAGAUCUUCAUCACCAUCCAUAAUCAUGACCAUUCAUUCAUUACUGUCAUUAUUAUUUGACGUUUAAGAUUACUUUUUGAGUAUUUUGGUUCUCAUUUCACUACAUUAGUGAAUUUUGACUUUAUAAACUAAGGUAAGGGUUUAUGAACUUGAUAACAUUGGAAGAAAGAAAUGUAACAUUUUUAUUUAUUACAAGAAUUACUUUCCUACUUGAAAGGAAAUUCACCAAGCAUGGGAAAUUUUCUGUCAUUCAAAGCUGAAGUGCAGAAAUUAUGCACAAAUUUGAAUGUUUAUCAAAAUUAAAGGAAACUCCAAAAGCUCUUUGUAAAAUAAUAUAAAACCUAGAGAAAUGGUGAGCAUUUAAUAACAACCCAGUGACAUUUCAACAAGUAUGGGAGAGGCUUUGUCAUAAUAAAAGUAUGGUUUUCUCACUCUCUACCUCAAAUGUCCUGCCCUGUUUUGUCCCAGCAUGAAGUUUUAGUUUAUGCGUUCUCACAUAGGCCUGAAACUGUUACCUACUUGUUAUAAACCAUCUCAGAUUUCACUGCUGUGGGUUAAUCUGUAGGUCCUG